UGGGGAAUAUUGGACAAUGGGCGAAAGCCUGAUCCAGCCAUGCCGCGUGUGUGAAGAAGGCCUUUUGGUUGUAAAGCACUUUAAGCGAGGAGGAGGCUACUUAGAUUAAUACUCUAGGAUAGUGGACGUUACUCGCAGAAUAAGCACCGGCUAACUCUGUGCCAGCAGCCGCGGUAAUACAGAGGGUGCGAGCGUUAAUCGGAUUUACUGGGCGUAAAGCGUGCGUAGGCGGCUUUUUAAGUCGGAUGUGAAAUCCCUGAGCUUAACUUAGGAAUUGCAUUCGAUACUGGGAAGCUAGAGUAUGGGAGAGGAUGGUAGAAUUCCAGGUGUAGCGGUGAAAUGCGUAGAGAUCUGGAGGAAUACCGAUGGCGAAGGCAGCCAUCUGGCCUAAUACUGACGCUGAGUACGAAAGCAUGGGGAGCAAACAGGAUUAGAUACCCCUGUAGUCCCUGAGCGGGCUGGCAAGGCGCAU
Molecule: ribosomal RNA, 472 nt
Filed under: uncultured bacterium
Lineage: Bacteria
Description: bacterial SSU rRNA
Rfam family: Bacterial small subunit ribosomal RNA
Source: RNAcentral